GAUGAACGCUGGCGGCGUGCCUAAUACAUGCAAGUCGAGCGAACAGACGAGGAGCUUGCUCCUCUGACGUUAGCGGCGGACGGGUGAGUAACACGUGGAUAACCUACCUAUAAGACUGGGAUAACUUCGGGAAACCGGAGCUAAUACCGGAUAAUAUAUUGAACCGCAUGGUUCAAUAGUGAAAGACGGUUUUGCUGUCACUUAUGGAUGGAUCCGCGCCGCAUUAGCUAGUUGGUAAGGUAACGGCUUACCAAGGCGACGAUGCGUAGCCGACCUGAGAGGGUGAUCGGCCACACUGGAACUGAGACACGGUCCAGACUCCUACGGGAGGCAGCAGUAGGGAAUCUUCCGCAAUGGGCGAAAGCCUGACGGAGCAACGCCGCGUGAGUGAUGAAGGUCUUCGGAUCGUAAAACUCUGCUAUUAGGGAAGAACAAAUGUGUAAGUAACUAUGCACGUCUUGACGGUACCUAAUCAGAAAGCCACGGCUAACUACGUG
RNAcentral lists this ribosomal RNA (497 nucleotides) under uncultured bacterium. RNAcentral's name for it is "partial 16S ribosomal RNA". It matches the Rfam family "Bacterial small subunit ribosomal RNA", at positions 28 to 507 of the family's 1533-position model. The record is from RNAcentral.